Chrysemys picta bellii (western painted turtle) is the source of this 1038-nucleotide non-coding RNA. The record is from RefSeq and is a predicted model, not a curated record. NCBI's taxonomy places the organism in Eukaryota, Metazoa, Chordata, Testudines, Emydidae.
GGGAAGGGUUGCCAGUCCUGCACGUAGUCUAAGUUUAAAGCUGCCAGUACAGAACAGAAUGACUCUGGGUGUGAAAAGAUAGGAGAGAAAACACAUAUUUCUAGAUGAAGCUUUAUUUUUUUAAAAAAGCAGUGUGCACAUGCUUGAUCAGAGGAUACAUUCUAGGCAAUUGAGGAACUUAUGCUUGCUAGCUAGAAGAGCACAGCCCAAGGAAAACCAUCCGCUACAGAAACUGGAUCUCUCCUACACUCUGUAGGGGAAAAGAUUAUAAAGAAAAAAAAAAGUAAAAUGCCAAUGAUCAUCUUAUGUUGAGGAAAUGAAGUUGUUUCUCCUCGCUCAAGGCACAGGGAUUGGGCAAAAAUACAGGAUGGAAAGAAAUGAGAAGCUCUGGACAUUGGAGGAUCCUGACUCAGUCCAUGAAGUGAUAAGAAAGAACUGGCAGUCGGUCCUCCCUUCCACUUAUACUCUUGGUGGGGAGCACAAGUAGAGCUGGGGCACAGGUGGGGACCAAUAGACACUGCUUGCAAAAACUCUCCAGUCACGUGUGCAUGCAUACCCAGAGUGGAAUACAUAAAUGGACCAGCACUCAACAAAGACUAGUUUUUAUGGCCAAAUAAACCAAGAUGCUUUGGUUCUCGUUCUUCUGGUGUCAUUCUAUGUUAUUUGGUUUUCUCAUUAGCUGCAACCAGUACAAAGGAACCCAGUACCAGGUAUGAAUAGAAAAAUUCUGCUCCCGAAGAGAGAACUUGGUAUUUCUUGCUGGCCUUCUUUAACAAAGGAGCAGCAACUGCAGGUGUCUGCCAUACAUUUCUUGCAAAGUCCAACAGUACCUGUUUAAUCAGGAACGCACAAAACCUGACAUUGGUGAAUGAAGUAUGCCAGUUUAUGUGAGGAUUCUUACACCUCCUCAAGAGGACUUCGUAUAGCCUCAGCUACUCUUCUGAACAAGUCCUGAAAAUGUUUCAAAUUAUUUGGGUUAGAUGGAGUGGAGGGUCGAGGAUGACAUAGCUGUGGGCCCAGGUAGAUCUCCCAUUUCAG